RNAcentral lists this ribosomal RNA (258 nucleotides) under uncultured bacterium. RNAcentral's name for it is "partial 16S ribosomal RNA". It matches the Rfam family "Bacterial small subunit ribosomal RNA", at positions 524 to 778 of the family's 1533-position model. The record is from RNAcentral.
UACGUAGGGUGCAAGCGUUAAUCGGAAUUACUGGGCGUAAAGCGUGCGCAGGCGGUUUUGUAAGUUUGUCGUGAAAUCCCCGGGCUCAACCCUGGGAAUGGCGAUGAAGACUGCAAGGCUAGAAUCUGGCAGAGGGGGUGAGAAUUCCACGUGUGAGCAGUGAAAUGCGUAGAGAUGUGGAGGAACACCGGUGGCGAAGGCGGCUGCACUGGCUCAGUAUCUGACGCUCAGGCGCGACAGCGUGGGAUCAAACAGGAU